AGAGUUUGAUCAUGGCUCAGAACGAACGCUGGCGGCAGGCCUAACACAUGCAAGUCGAGCGGGGGGAGCAAUCCCUAGCGGCGGACGGGUGAGUAACGCGUGGGAACGUACCCUUUGCUUCGGAAUAGCCCCGGGAAACUGGGAGUAAUACCGGAUGUGCCCUACGGGGGAAAGAAUUUCGGCAAAGGAUCGGCCCGCGUUGGAUUAGGUAGUUGGUGGGGUAAUGGCCUACCAAGCCGACGAUCCAUAGCUGGUUUGAGAGGAUGAUCAGCCACACUGGGACUGAGACACGGCCCAGACUCCUACGGGAGGCAGCAGUGGGAAUCUUAGACAAUGGGCGCAAGCCUGAUCUAGCCAUGCCGCGUGAGCGAUGAAGGCCUUAGGGUUGUAAAGCUCUUUCGUGGGGGAAGAUAAUGACGGUACCCCAAGAAGAAGCCCCGGCUAACUACGUG
RNAcentral lists this ribosomal RNA (452 nucleotides) under uncultured bacterium. Its description in RNAcentral is "bacterial SSU rRNA". It matches the Rfam family "Bacterial small subunit ribosomal RNA", at positions 8 to 507 of the family's 1533-position model. The record is from RNAcentral.